UGGGGAAUUUUGCACAAUGGGGGAAACCCUGAUGCAGCGACGCCGCGUGAUUUAGAAGGCCUUCGGGUUGUAAAAAUCUUUUGUAUGGGAAGAAAAUGACAGUACCAUACGAAUAAGGACCGGCUAAUUACGUGCCAGCAGCCGCGGUAAUACGUAUGGACCGAGCGUUGUCCGGAAUCAUUGGGCGUAAAGGGUACGUAGGCGGCCCAGUAAGUUAGAAGUGAAAUAAUAUAGCUCAACUAUAUAAAGCUUUUAAAACUGCUAGGCUUGAGAGAUGGAAGGGAAAGUGGAAUUCCUAGUGUAGCGGUGAAAUGCGCAGAUAUUAGGAAGAAUACCGGUGGCGAAGGCGACUUUCUGGUCAUCAUCUGACGCUGAGGUACGAAAGCGUGGGUAGCAAACAGG
RNAcentral lists this ribosomal RNA (402 nucleotides) under Verrucomicrobiota bacterium. Its description in RNAcentral is "Verrucomicrobia bacterium partial 16S ribosomal RNA". It matches the Rfam family "Bacterial small subunit ribosomal RNA", at positions 355 to 776 of the family's 1533-position model. The record is from RNAcentral. Lineage: Bacteria; Pseudomonadati; Verrucomicrobiota.